Cavia porcellus (domestic guinea pig) is the source of this 25927-nucleotide long non-coding RNA. RefSeq lists it as uncharacterized. The transcript has 2 exons. The record is from RefSeq and is a predicted model, not a curated record. Lineage: Eukaryota; Metazoa; Chordata; Mammalia; Rodentia; Caviidae.
CAUUACUAGCAGGUGUCUCAGGUGAUGGAAUUAUAGAAAACCUUUUAUUAUGGAAAAUGUUCAGCAUCCAUAGAAAUAGAAUAAAAUAAACCUCUUUGUCCUAAUCACCUAGCACCAACUCUUUGUCAUAAUCCUGCAGUUGUUUAUCCAACUGCUCCCUCCACUUUCUUUCCUUUCUUCUUAGAAUAUUUAGAAGAAAAUCUCGAGAUGUUUCAUCAGAUGCUGAUGGGAUUUUGAGUAAUCAUUAUUUUUGGCUCAUUUGGAUUACCAAGUUUGUAUACUGGGAUUUGUAUUCCUAUUUUUUUGUUUGUUUGUUUCUUUGACUUAAAAUCGCUGCACUUUUAAGGUUCCUAAGCUUUAGACACUUGUGUUUCUUCAUCUAUAAAACAGGGUACCUACAGAACCCCUCUCUGAGCUCAUUUCUGUAAAAUGCUGAGGGCAGGGUCUGCCACCACAUACUUUCAUUAUUUUUUUCAGUGUCGUAUAAUUUUUAAAGUGUGGAUCCUGCCCCUCAAGUCCCUGGGAUCAGGCCUCACCAAGAGGGAGAUUGAGGUUCCUGGAUUCAGGAACUUGUCAGAGCUUGUGUGCCAGGCUUAGACUUAACCGUGACCUGCCCCCCAACCCAGUGACUUCGCACUGCAUGUGACAGGAUCCACAGGACUCGGUGAAGUCCAGCAUGUGACCCAGGUUAGCAGACCCUGGGCAGAAACUCAACCUCUCUGAACCUCAGUUUCUACCUGUGUAAGUCAGGGUUGUAAUGAUACCUCCCAUGUGCAGUGAGCUAAGGCAAAUUAAGGUCCAGUACAGUGCUUAGCAUAUAAUAAGUGCCCAAUAAUUAUUCACUGGUAACUUCUCUCCAGAAUUUGCUUAAAAAUGAGUACAAGGAAGGAAGUAUUGAGUCAUUACCUCCAUGCUCCUGACAGUACCUCCAUGCACAGGACCAAUGAACAACCUCUGGCAAUGACAGGUCACUUGGGUCCAACCCUGCUGUGGGGCCUUAGACUGGUAUGUCAGUCUCUCUGGGGAUAUGGAAAGGGACUGUGUGGGUCAGCUGUGCAAAGAUCUGCAUCCUGGAAUGGUUCAGAGGCAGGGGCUCCAGCUGCCAGGACUCCUGUAGCCCUCCCAGGGAGCCCUCCCUUAAGAGCAGUGGCCUCUGCCAGGCCGGCCGCCAGGAGGGCUUGGCAAGAGGACCAGCAGAUGACAGUCUCACUCCAUGCACAGAUGUAUCUGCCAGUUUCUGAUGGGGAGAAGUGAUCUGGGAGUUGCUCACUUCAUUGAUAAUUAAAUUCAAAUUAAGAAAGAUUUGCAUUUAUCAAAUGCCUGUUUGACAAGGUGUCACUGUUCCCAUCCAGCACCCAGGCACUGGGGAGCCGACAAGGGGAGGUGCAGCCACGUGGGGAUAGAGACAGGAGGUGGAGACAGAGAAGGGGAGAACAGCAAAGACACUGCUGUCAGCCCUUCAUUAUUGCAGGGCCACUGCUCCAGUGGUAACAAAAUGCUGUGUGACCCCAUCGGGCUGCAGAACUAUCUGAGCCUCAGUUUCCUCAUAGCAUCCCCCAGGCUCUCCCUUGGAAGAAGUAGAUGCUACCAUUGGCAUCAACUAAGGUAAAGCAUUCUCAUAUCUGUCACCACCCUGGGCAGCCUGCUCAGGAUUCUCUGUGGACAUUCAUGGUGACCCACUAGAUCCCUACCACUAGAUCCCUGCACACGCAGCAUUCCUGCCCCCCAGGUGUUGUGAUUUGACGGUCACCUCCAGAGAAUCUCAAAGUGUUUAUUUUGUCCCAUUCAGCCAUGGGAGCAGCCUGUCUGGCCAGUUCAGGGGAAGAGGGCAGCUUCAUCUCCUUCCUCAAAGUCAGGACACCUGGUGAGCCUUCCCUGCUCAGCUUCUCCAGGAUCGGGUUGGGAUGGCUCCUGAGGAACUGCCGUCUGUGCCAAGCUCAUUCUGCUCCCUCAUGCUGCCCUUGUGGCACAUCUCCUCCACCCCCACCCCCACCCCCGGAAGCCACUGCACCAAAGUCCCCAAAUCAAGUGCCACCUAACCCAAGACAGGAUCCCACCUGGCCUUCAGGUCUGUCCCUAAUUGUUGCUGGAGCUCUAUCCUAUUUUAGCUUCCUAGCCUUGAUGUUUUCAUUGGGCACAACAGAUAGCUUCACUGUCUGUGGUUUACACAGAUCAGGGGAUAUCAUGGAUGUGGCAUUCCUUCUUGCAAGCUGCAAAGUCUGGCAAGCUGGAGACUGUUUCCAGAGAAAAUAGGGAUCCUGCCUGCCCCAGUGGUCCUGUGUGCUCAGAGGAAGGAGAGCAGAGGGGACUCGAAGGGAGAAUGAGGAGGGUGUGUAAUGGGAGACACCUGACGUAGGGCCAGCUAAGGCAGACCAAUGUCAUUUGUGGUCCAAAUGGUCCAAAAAGGGUCUUCAGUUCAGAAAUGAUGGUGGGCAAACUGAAAGCUCCUGAGUUUGUAAACUAUGGAGCCUCCAGCCUUACAGGAGCUCGGUUGAGCAGUGCAGUUUCUGGCUCUCUGCAAUCCAGCCUCCUUUCAGAACCAGCUGAUUGUGUGGCCCCUUUGGAAGGGUUUUGCAUCACCACAGAGAAGACGCAGCAGAGGAGGUUUCCUAGAUAUAGUGGGUGCACAGUGGGAUUGCUGCGUGCACUGCACUAGGCCCCUCCACUCCUCCACAGCGCUGAGUUUCCCCAGGUAAUUUCAAAUAGUAAGAUCUGAGAAGAACAGUUUAGCUGCCAAGAAUCUGCCCACUGUUUGAAAGGCAGUAGAUCCCUGCCUUCAUCUCUGCUGAAAAAUCAUUCAUACUUACAGAUCCAGAUAUACAAAUCAGAUCUAAGUUCAGAUCUCAACUCUAUCUUGAACUAGCUGUGUAGUCUUGGGUAAAUCACUUGAGCUCUCAGAGCCUCUACUCCCUUGUCUAUAAAAUGGAGAUAUGAAUGGGGUUGGUUGGGAGGAGAAGUGAGGGGAACACAGGGCCUGACCCGCAGUGUAAAUGUCAGUCUUUGCACUUCCUGUAACUUCUCCCUUAGUUUUCUUUCUGCCUGUUUUCCCUCCUCUGCAUCCCUUGCUCUGUUCCUUAAAGGCAUCUUUUUCCUGUGCAGUGAGGUUCAGUGUCAGCCGUGCACAAAAGUAAAGGCAGACAAGAGCUGAACUGGAAACUCAUGUAACAACUUCGCAGGGAAAGGCUGGAGAGGGAUCCUGGGCAAGGGAGCAGAGGCCUCGCAAAGUAGGUUUUGGAAUUUCACUGAGGAUUUCUUCUCUAUGUGAGUUGCAGCACUGGCUGUCAAAUCAAGAAUAACUCUUUUUUUGUAGUGCUGAAGAUCGAACCUAGGGCCUUGCCCACGGAGAACCUUUUUUGGAUACAGAAAUACACAUAUGGAGAGUAAUUUUAUUUUCCUAGCCCCGGCAAAGGCAGGACUUCAGAAGCAGUCAGCUUCUAGCUUCCUGGCCAGAUGUGUCCUCCUCUUUUAUAUUAGUAAGUUUCUUCCAGUAGAUGUUCUGCAUUUAUACAUGAAGCAGGGAAAAAACAGCAGCUAAAUAUAGGCCUGCACCAGCAAGCUGAGGUGGUCUGAAGAUAGGGAAUGAGGAGAGUGGGUUUGGGCUUUUGUGCGUGCUCAGAAUAGGGAGAAUCUGUGAGCCCUUGUCAUACUCUGGUUGAGGCUCAAAAGCAGCAAAGGGACCUAAUGUGACCUCAAAAGCUAUGUGACCUUUGGCAGUUUACGCUGCCUCUCAAAGCCUCACUUUUCCCCUCUGUAAAACCACGUUAUCUCUUUAUAAUGUUCCAGCUUGACUUUUCCAUGGUUCUAUUUUCUGUCAGGGGACAAUGCCUGACAAUGAGCAGGGAGCCUCUGAUGACACCUAAUGGACUUGGUUGGCUGGUCUCAUAUUUUUGUGUCCUCCCAAAAGUUGAGAGGAGACAGUACCUGAAGGAAAUGUUCUUUAUUGACCACUAAGCCUGGAUUUCUUAGGUUCUUAAGAUUAUAAUUUAGAUAAUUUAGUUCUCCAUAUACAUACACACACACUUCUUGGAGAAGUGUCUUGCCUUCUCUUCAUAAAAAGACAUUCUUUUGUGGUUGCUAACUGGGGUGCUCUGGGUGCAGAUAUGUGUGCCUGCCACAUGCUUUUUCAGUGUCUUGAAUAAACCUUUGUCCAAAUCUCAGUUUUCCCGUCUAUAAAAUGAUCACAAUGCUUUCUCCUUAGGCUAAAUGAGGUGACUAUAAAUUGAGCAUUCACAUUCUGACAUUCCCAUGCUAAGCAUCCCAAAUGUUGUCUGCAGUGACCACGAUGACAGCAGUGCUGCUUGGAAAGCCAUUGCUUGGGAACAGGGUGGGGGAUGAGGGGACAAAAUGUAGGGGACAGAUAGGACUUCCUAGCAAGUCCUAUCAUGGAUUCACAAAUUUCCAUCAGAUUUCCAAACGAGAAGGACAGAGCCGAGAUAAGCCACAUGCAAAGUACAGCCCCACCAUCCAAAAUAAAAGGGAUGUAUUUAUAUACAUGUACGUGCACAUCUUGGUAUCUCAGAAACCAGGCAGAAUAUUGUAAAGCAAUGUACAAUGGCAUAAAAUAUUGUCCCAAUUUAAUCCAUCUAUCUAGUGUUCCAUCUAAUUACUAUAUUAGAAAAGUCUUCAGACCAUGUAUUGAACAUUAUAAAUGGGAAUAAAAUGAUUCUGGUAAUGGCUUAAUAAAACAGGUGAGGUAGCUCCGUCUGUCUGCCUGUAUCCUUGGACCAUGGCCAGAUUGAUUUGUCAGGGAAGGAAAAAAAAGAAGAAAUGGGCUUGUGUUGUUGCACUUUGGAGAUUGUCUCCAUUAGGGGCCUUUGAUUUUAUUCUUGUUUUUCGUUAUGAGAAGUGGUUAUCGGUUCCUUUUGUUAACAGCAAAAUAUGUAGAACUGAUGGAAAAACUGACAGCAGCCAUUUCAUAUUUUAUAAAGCCAUUCCCGGCUUAUAAUUUGCUGGUUGGGAUGAAUUGAGGAACCCUGAAACUCCUGGCGAAUUUGCAGCUGAUGACUGCAGUCUUGUCGGAGGGCGUGUAUAACCGCUGGGAUUUUGCUGCUCUGAGGAACUGCAGCUCGGGGAGGUAAAAAUAAGCCCCAGGGCAAGAAAUCAUAUAUCAUUCAUUUGAGGCUGGAGUUGUCCAAUCAGAAGAGAUCUGAGCUCUUUGUGUACCAAAUCACCUUUUCUCCUUGUGCCUAGAAAACUGCUUGCUUUUGGGGGAAUUGCUGAGGUUUUCUGUACAGAUCAAACAAUGACUUCCCCUUCUUGCCUCUCUUCAAAUGCUCAGUGUCUUUGUCUUCUACCCUGAGCCUUCUGUCUCCAUUUCUUAAAAGCUGCCAUUGUUACUGAGACUAGACAGGUCCCCAGCCUGAAUUUGCUUCUGGCUUGGAGGCUGGCAUUCAGUGACCAGAGAUGGGAAGGCGGCCCGCAACCCAUUGGUAUAUAACCUUCCCUGCUUCUGAGCGCCUGCACCUUCAUGGAGGUGCAUGCCCCCUUCCUCAUCAAGUGCUUUGCGUGUUUCCAGCCCCAAACUCUAAUUUCUUCCUUGGACCAGACUAAUAAGUGGGUGUUGGAGGUUAAAUUCCAGCACAUUAAGGAGGUACUCACCUCUCCCAGAGCCAUGGUAUUCACACAAGGCGUCAUCCAUGUUGUCAUGGCUACGAGGGCCCCGGACCCCAGAGACUGGAGCACAGAAUUAAUGGCAGUCCCGAGUAAAGGAUUCCUGUCUUAGCGAGGUUGAUGGAUUACAUUGAUGUACCAUUUGUCAUACUGUAAUUGUUCUGGCAAAUGUAAUACCCACUAGUAUAAACAUUGUACUGCUUUGCUAAUAAAACCCAAAAUAGGAAGAGAAAGGAUGAUACAGUGUUAUGCUCACUUAAAGAGACAAUGCCUCCUUUCCAAGUUGGCACUCACUCCUUUUUCUAGAAGUCUCACAUGAGUGAUGCCUUCUCCAUUGAUGUGUAUGCAUGUGCUAAACAGCUGUCUGCCACCUGCCCUCCCAGCACACUUGGUGUGGGCCACUUGGGCUGAGCAUACAAGUAUGGAGUGGUGGGGGGACAUUUGAGGUACUCGGUUUCCUUCUCCAUCAGCACUUCUGGUAAUUUCUCUCCUUGGGUUUAGUUUUUGCCCAAAACCUCUGAGCCUCUAUUAGUGCCUUCAAGAUUCUCCUCUGGAGUCCAUAUAUCCAAAUUAGCUUUGUACCUAAAUCUCUUCUGAUAGGCUGCUACCCCCAAGAACCCAUCCCUGACCAGCAGGCCCUUCUCUGAGCUUUGACCUCCUGAAAGGCCAACACCAGCUUCUAAAUAUCUCUAACUUGUCCCUCUCUUCCCCCUGCAACCAGUGAUGCUCAGAACAUUGUGUGGAUCACAGGCAGUGCUUAGUAAAUGUUCAGUGACUGACUCAGCGGCUCCCCACUGGCCACAAAAGGCUUAACCUGCAGCCUCGUGGGUCCAUGUCAGGAUUUCAAGAUCCCGGAUGCCCAUCCGCCUCCUCCAGAGCUAUCAGAAAUACCUCCUUCUCUCUGCUUGUUCUGAGCUUCUGUUUUGUUCCUGCCUGGCCUUCAUCAACACUCUUCUUACUAAGGAGACUGCCUUUGCCCUGUGCCUUAACUAGUUAACUCCCAACACAGACAUCACCUCUCACAGAAAGGCUCACACUACGGGAGGGAGCCUCUGAGGUAUUUAGCAACCCGGGCUUCCCUCAGCCAAGCAGCACUCACAUAGGUGGCACAGCAUCCUUUGCCAAGGUGCCUUUAGCCACAUGCCACCCGGAGCCCCACCCAGCUUGAGUUUCCUGUGUGCGGAGGAGAGCAGUGUGUAACUGAAUGCUUUUCACCACCUCCACUCUCCAUGAGUUGGGCUCAGCCAGGAUCCCCCUCCCAGGUAACAGUUGAGUAGAAUUGAGGACCUGUCUGCAGACUGUUCCAAUGGUGAUGGCCUGGGAAUAGGAAAAGUGAGCCAUGACAAAGCUCUUGAUCUUGUCACUGGGUUGGGCUAUGAGUUAGUUGAGUCGGAGCCUCACUGUCUCCCCAGGUUGUCUUUACUUGUCCCACCUUCCUGCCCCUAGAAUAAACAAGGCAGAGUCUUAUCUGGAAAUUUGGGGAAGAAUGAUGAUAUGGCUGAGGCCCCUGGAGGCAGUUUGGCUAACCCUAACCCUAAUCUCCUCAAUUUGAACCCUUCGAGCCUGGAGCCAUCUGCAUUUACCUAUUUGACCCCUGCUCUGAUUGCCUCCCCUCAGGCUCUGGGCUCCAGCUCAGAAGGGGCUACACAGGAUCCAUGAUCCAGUAUAAUGUUGUCCAGAAUCACUGGCUCCCACAUUUUAACAUACUAGUCCCUUUUACUCUGUGCAGAACCCUCUACUUCAAGGACCCAGCUGGGACCCUGGUGCUCUCUGAGGUUCUGCUUCUGUAGGGAGUUGAAUUGGGUGGCAAGCAACCACAAGCCUGGGGAAUAGCAUCUUAAACUCACAUGGGUACAGUUAUUAUUUUUUUAAAUAACUGUCUACUUAGAGCAAUUUUAGGCUCACAGAAAAAUGGAGAAGAAAGUGAAGUUCCAUGUAUACUGUUGCAGGAUGUACACAGUCUCUGUGUCUUGGUUAAUUUUCUCUCGUUGCUGAGACAAAAAUACCUGGCACUCAAAAUUAAAGAGGGUUAAGGUUUAUUUAGCUCACGUUUUGUGGGGGUUUCAUGCCAUAAUCAGGUGGCUGCAAGGCAGGGUGGUGUGGCAGCAGGGCAACCAUUCAUGGCAUAGAAAACAGCAAAAACACCAAGAGCAAAAGGGGAGGAGGAGUGCAGAGAGAAGAUUCUUUCUGUCUCUUAUAUUGUAUGUAGGCCACACCCACCCUAGUGUGGGUGUAACACUUACACUCGCAAUCCCAGCAUUGGACCAUGAAUUAAUCAGAAAUUCUAGAAGCCUGCCUCCAUGACUACAGGAGGCUUUCUGGGGACAUCCAGACACAAACCAUAACAACUCACCAUGUUCAGUGUGCACUAGGGGAUGACUUUUGGUAUAGCUGAUAAACCUGCAGUCACAGGUCAUUAUCCCCAAGUCCAUAGUUUACACUAGGGUUCACUCUUGGGGUUGCACAGUCUUUGGGUCUGGACAGAUGUUAAGUGAUGACAUGUUCAACCUGUAGUGUCAUACAGGAUGCUCUUGCUGUCCUAAAAAUCUCCUGUGCUCUACCUGUUCUCUCUCUGUCUCUCUUCCUCCCUUCCCCUCCCAUCCCCUCUAUCUCUUCCCCUCCCCACUCUGGCUCUCUCCCUCCUCCCAGACCCCUGUAAUCACUGAAUGCUUUACCAUCUCCAUAGCUUUUUUCCUUUCUCAGAACAUCUUACUGUUGGUGUCUUAGUCUGUUUUUGUUGCCAGAACAAAAUAUGAGACCAGGCAGUUUAUAAGGAAUUGGAGGUAGGGGAGACCAAGAGCAUGGUGCUGAUGCCUAUGAAGGCCUUCUUGCUGCAUCAGAGCACAGCAGAAGGUAUUAUCAGGCAAGACAGAGCAGGUGUUUGCUCUUGGGUCUCUCUUCUUAUGAAGCCACUAAUGCUAUCAUGGGGGCCCCACCUCAUCUAACUCUUAUUUACUUCCCAAAGAACUCAUCUCCAAAUACCAUUGCCAUAUGAAUUCAGGGUCAAGUUUCCAACACCUGAACUUUGGAGUAGUACGUUUAGGCCAUGUAGUUGGAAUCAUAGUGUUUAGCCUUCUUGGUCUCCCUUUUAAAAUGUAUCAGUGGGCAAAGAGUUUCCUCCUCAGUGGCUAGUGAUGGCUUACUAACUCAUUUCUUCUAGUGUGGAAUAGUAUUCUAUGGCUCUAAUGUAUCACCAUGUAUUUAUCCUCUGAGCUCCUGAAGAACACUGUGGUUGUCAGUGUUUUUCUAAUGUGGCAGAGUAAGAGGGAGACUACCUCUGUCUUUCCAUUUCCCCUCUUGGCUUUUUCAGCUUUGUAGCUCCUAAUAGCAGUUCAUUCUCCAGGGCUCAUGGUGUCUGCAGGCCAGGAAGCAGUGAGACAGGAAAGCCAAAGGGGCAGAAGGGAAAGGCUUUCUUGGGAUGAGGAUUUUAUCUCUCACUUCAGGAAGGGAAGCUGCCUAGGGAACAUGACUUCAUUGUCCAGAACUAGCCACUCAUAGCUGCAAUGCAGCUGUUAGAAGAUCCGGCUCUCUGGGGCUGGGGCUUUAGCUCAGCGGCAUAAGCACCUGUCUUGCAAGCACACGGUCAUGAGUUUGAUCCCCGGUACCGACAAAAAAAGAUCAGGCUCUGGUUUGAAUCCCAAAGUCCUAUGUGAAAACCUUAAAAUGUAUUGAAAUCUUUGGCAUCUCAGAGUGGGCCUGUAUUGGGAGUAGGGUCUUUAAAGGAGUAAUAAAGUUAAAAUGAGGCCAGUAGGGUGGGGCCUUAUCCAGUAUGACUGGUGUCCUAGUAAUCUGAGGAGAUCAGAACACAGACAUGCACAGAGGGAGGGCCAUAUGAGGACAGAGCAGAUGUAAGUGUUCUGAAGAUAGACGGUGGUGAUAGCUUAGUGACUUAAUGCCACAGUUUCUGACAUUUAAAAAUGGUUAAAAUGGUAAAUUUUACAUUGUGUUCAUUUUACCCUAAUAAAAAAAAUGCUACCUUUAUUACUGUUGCUGCUGUUCUUCUAGUAACAAUGCUGUUGCUGCUACUGAGUUUUUACUAUAUACAGCUACAUUGUAUUCUUGACAUAAAUUGUCUGACCUAGUCCUCCUGCUGAUUCUAAGAAGUAGAUCCUAUGAAUAAGUAUGGAAAAACAUACCUACAGUGCUUAGCACUAACUGGGGCUCAGAAAGGUUAAAUCAUUUGUCCAAUCAUGUGUCCACUCAGCUUGCAGCUCAUCUGGGCCUUAAACACGAAUGCGUGGGUCCCAGACCUGUUCAGACCUUAGUUAAAGCAAGAUUUUUAGCCUUGACACUGGAUAGUCCUUGGUGGUUGGGGGUUAUAUCUCGUGUAGGGUGUUUAACAACAUCCUUAGGCUUUCCCCGCCUGAUGCCAGUACCAUGUCCCAACCUCAAAGCGAAAUGAUCCAAAGUAUCUUUAGAUCUUGCCAAAUGUCCUUUGGGAGACAAAAUGUCCAAACCUUGCCAGAUGUCCAUUGGAGGGCAAAAUCAGCUUGGUUGAGAAUCAGUGGUUUACCAGGGGCCCACUGGCAACAUGGAGGACGUUGAACAAUAAUGGAUAUUGUGACUUUUAAAGUCAUAUCAAUCCAUGGAGAUCUGCUGGGUAUUACGUGGGGGGGGGGGCACAAUUGCUUUCUUUUGUCUUUUGGAAGGAUGUUUUCCAACUCCCUGCACCCUCUUCCUCUUAAAACAUUAGGACAUGUGGAACAUCCAUUUUUGGCAUAAGACUGGGCAUACCACCCCCAGAGCUUAAACAGUGCUCAUUUGCAAGAUGGUUUAUAUUAGCAAGAAACAGCCCCAUACAGGGCUGGGGAAAUGUGGGGCCUGCAUGCAGUGAUAUUGUAACCUUUCAAGAAAAGAAGUCUAGGAUGCUUUGUUGGGUGAAUAAAGCAAGUAGUAGAACAUGACCUCAUUUUUAUGAGGAAUUCUUGCUAUAUGUGUACAUGGUAGCAGACACAAAGAGAGAAGCCCAGAAGGGUUCCCCAGGGUGUUAAGGUGGUUUCAUUCACUGCUGCACCCUCAGGGCCCUGGCACACAGUAGGUGCUUAAUUAUUAUCUCUUCAUAACCAAAUGUGAAGUGGCAAGGCAGGGCUGUCAGCUUUUUUCUUUGCAUUUUCCAUCAUUUGAAUUUUUUAUAACGAGCAUAUAUUAACUUUGUGGCUUUAAAAAACCUUCCUCCAAAAAAAGGAAAUUAAAAAAAAGAAGAAUCACGCCUUGAACUUGCCUGGCUCUUCCUUCUGCAGAGCUCGACAGGCACGUGCCUGUCUUGCCAAAGCCAUGCAGAGAAAUGAGGCUGGUGUUUUAUGGUCCUUGUUCACUCAUGCAUUGCUAACACUGGGCUCCUGAAGAAAGCUACUGCUUUUUUCAUUUCUCUCACUGUGGUUUUCCCUUGGGCUUUUGCAGAGGAGCAAAAAUCAACACAGGAGGCAUGGACAGGAAAGGCAGAAAGGGAACCGGCCAGGGUCCUGUAGUCUGCCCCGGGGGGCAGGCAGAAGGUUGACUUCUGUGGCCUCCUCCUUCUGAGGCCUUGAGAUGUUUCCAAAGCUGCACAAGUGCUGAGGGAGGCUUGGAGAUGAGUGGAGGUGAGGGCUGAAGAAAAGGAAUUAGCACCUUUUGGGAAGCAGAUUUCUAGAUCUCAAGGAUGACUGUUUUGGGUUCUUUCUGGGGACAGUUUUUUGGUUUUGUUUGGGGUUUUUGUUUUGUUUUGUUGGUAGCAAUGUGAGGAAAGAGAAGAAUCCCCUGCCCAGUCUUAGGAUUUCUAAAUAUUCCAAAGGCCUUUGAGUUUGUACAACUGCAUCUCAAAUGUUUUUAAAAGUUUAUAACUGACCUGAUUCAUAGAAAAAGAUAAACACCCUUCCCAUGUUUGGAGUCAUAUGUAAUUUUUAUCUCUUGACCUUUAAAUGUAAGCAGCAGUAAAAUGAAGAACUAUUGCAGUCAUUUAACACUCCGGCUGUACUAACUGGUUCCUGCCUGAGAACCGUGGUUUUAAAUUGGCUAAUGCAGAAUACUUGCAGAGCUAAUAAUAAUUCAGAUUAUUCCUGUCAGCUAUUCCGGUUUCAUGGGUAAUUUAGUAGUUGAAUAAAUUUUUAAAAAAAUUCAUUCGUUACCAUGCGCUGUUAUGAAUCAGUAGAUGGUUUACCAUUGGCAGCAGUAACUGUAAGAAGAUUUAAAUUGCUACUGAAAAGGAUUUGAGUGAAGGUAAUGUUUUAUAAUGUUCUAAGCCAUAUGCACUACUUUCAGGCCUCAUCAGUUUUACAUUGAUUCCUAGUGAAGUGUUUAAUUGCAUCAUGAAUGCAAUAUAAUUCAGUUCUUUCUGCUAAUAUGGUAUAUAUCUCAAAGUGAUAUACGGCACUGACAGGAAGAAUUCACAGUUCCGUCUGGAUUUGGGAGGGCAGCGACAAUUGGGGGCCUACUGGAUGCAUGGAGGGCAGACGCCCCAGAGGAGGGCUGCAGCCAGGCUCCAUCUUACUGAGACGAGGGGAAUGUCACAGGCAUGUGUGGGGAGCAGUGGGCAGUGUCUGUCACUGCUCCCAAUGCUGCUGGCCAGCGAGAAGAGGGGUCUGGUGUAUUGGCCUCCUGUAGGAGACAGGGAGAUCCCUCAGCUGGUGCAAGGCUUCACAAGGCUGGCCAGGCCCAUUGCACGCUGAUGGGAUUGGCUUCCAGAAUCUCACUGGCUGUUUCUAAGUGAUGACUGAAGACUGGGCUUCUGUUGCCAUUUGUUUAAUCAUCCAGUGAGUAUUCCUUGAGCACCUACUAUGUUCUAAGGCAAGUGAUGGCCAGGAAUGCCUUUGCGGGAGAUUGGCUUCAAUCAUAUGUGAGCUCGGUUUUGGUGGAGGUCUCAAGGGCUCUGUAGCAAAGAUCUACAAAAGGAACUCAAACCCCUUGCCUCUGCAGUACCAUGGGCAGUGACCAGACACGGAGACCUUGACUCCUUGGGCAGACAGCAGGGCAUGUCCCCAGAAGGGCACAGCUGCCUCACAACUCUAUCUGUGUCUCCAUAGGCUUGGAGUUGUCGGAAUUGUCAGUUUCUCAUGAGAAGCUAGGCAUCCGGAUUUGUAUGCAAAAAUCACCCAUUUUAAAGGAAAAUGAAAGUAUAUACACCAUACAGGCCAAACUAAAUACAGUAUGUCUGUGGGCACAGCGUACCCAGGGGCCACCUGUUUACAGUGUCUGUUCAUGGGCAUGACUCUGCUGUUCAAGUAAAAAACAUUUGCUUUCCACCGACAAAAUGUAUACCAUUAGAGGCAGUGGAACUCUUGACAGGCGGGGACGGCAUUCUGCGGAUGUCCGACGCAGUGGUGGGGGAUUGCCGGGCGAAGGAGGCAGCUUCUUUCCAUCUGGUGGUCAUGGAUUUGGGAACAAGUCGCCCUGGAUGGGGCAGACGUGCCUAGUUACUGCAUCCUAGAAAUGUAAAGGAGGCAUCUUCUCAGAACAGAACUAAUGAGAAGAAGGACAUUGUAGCCUGCAGCUUCCAACAUGGAAUUCAAGGCAGGGUGACCUGAAGAUGGUAGGGAGGGGCAGGAUGGAUAGAGCUGGAGCAGACUUUCCCUUUAUGCUUUUUCUUCUCUGAAUCUCAGCAGGCAGCCCAAGGCCCAGAGAAGUCCUGUAGGCAAAGCCUCUGGCUUCCCUCCUCUCAGGGAGAAGAAUGUAGCCUUCUGAAAUGCAGGGAAAGCAAGACUCAUGCUGGCUAGCUUUCACUCACACUCAUGUCUCUGUUUAUUUAGAAAUACUGAGGAACCAGGCAUGUUAUGGAGGAGACUGUGGUGACCAGGACAGAUAGGCCUGCCCUCCAGAGCACAGAUAGACAGACCCCAUGCAAAUGUAUAAUGAAAAACACAAAUCACCUUAGAUAUGACUGACCUUAGCCCAGCAGCAUCUACUUGGCCAUAGGUUGGCUUCAGCUUUAUAAAAAGUGUGUCUCAGUAUAUUUGUUGGUCAGAGCUGCAAUGACAAAAUGCUGCUGUCGGGCCGACUUAAACAGAAAUUUGUCUUCUCGUGAUUCUGGAGAUGAGAAGUUCAAACUUGAGGUGGUUCCUUCUCAGGCCUUUCUUUGGUUUGUGAACAACCUUCAUGACCUGAAGACAUCCACCUUCUGUGCCUCUGUGUCCAAAAUGUCUCCUUUUCAUAAAGACACCAGCCGUGUUCAAUUAGACCCAGCUCAGUGACCUCAUGUGAACUUUAUUUCCUCUGUACAGACCCUGUCUCCGAAUCAGGCCACAUUUUGAGGAACUUGCAUGUAGGUUUUGGGGAGAAUGUCACGGUUCACCUUAUGAAACUGCACGUGCAGCACAGUAUGGGUGUGACUGCAGCAGGGUUAGAGGGGACUUUCAACGAAGGGAACAGGAGAACAGUGCCACGUGCACUCUGCUUGGAGGACCGUCUCCGCCAGCCCCCAUGAGUGAUGCUGGUCACGUCCAUCCCUCUGGAGUGAGACCUUCGAAGCAGAGCUUAUGCAUUUUCAGCCAUCUGAUCCUGUGUAGCCACAAAGCAGCAGCCUGGGCCCUGGGGCUCCGCCCUCAGCCUGGCGCCGAGAUGUAAUCAGAGCCUUCUUUUUAUCCCCACUCUUGAGAAAGGCCAGCCAGGCCACCUUUUUGAUCAUCGUAACCUUGACGCAGAAGAAUAAUUUAUCCAUGCCCCCAGAUGAGGAAAUUGCAAAAUUUUAUUUAUGAAGCCAAGCCACCACAUCAUAAUUCUGUUUCUGUGUUGCUGAAUACAGCUUGCCAAGAUGUGGAGGUGUGGGUGAUGUUUGAUAAUAAAACGGGACAUCAUACCCAGAGAUGAAGGUGUGGGGGAAGCAGGAAGUUGGGUCCCUCAGGAGAGAUCCUAGAGAAUGUAUCAUUCUGGAAGUUGACCUAACUGUUCUUCCAUGGACUCCCAGGUCAGAAGUAAGAGGAUAAAAGUCUCCAUGAAAAUUCAGGGAAGCUGAUGUGAGGGGGAUUUUGAACAUGAAUUCAGGAUGGGAAAAGAUGUAUAGCCCCACCUUUGAGGCCGUGGCCUUGGUUCUGGGAGCUUGGAAGAACCUGUAGCAUGGUGGUGAUGAGCUCUGGCUUUGUAGUCAGCUGGCUUUGGGUUUGGGCCCCAGUUCUGUCACUUGCUUUGUGGCAUUUAGCAAGUCAGAUUUGUAAACCUCAGCUUGUUCAUCUGUACAGUAAAAAUAAGAACACACCUACCCCAAGGGUUAUCUUAAGGUUAAUGUGAAGUAGUGCAAAUAUAACGAAAUUGUCUGACCAGUGGACACUACUUCCUAUUUGGUAGCAAUUAAAUGACAAGGCAACUCUGGAGCCACACAACCUGGCUUUGCAUCCCUGUUCUCACUGGCUGUGUGAACUUGGAUGAGGCAUCUCAUCUCUGUGAACCCCUCCGUUUUCCUGAUCUGUCAAGUGGGUUCAGAAAUGAUUUCCAUUUCCUAGAGUGGGGUUGCAGGUGGAAUGAAUGACUGGCAGGAAUUAGAACAGUGACUGCCCCGGGGUCAGUAAGUGUUACUGCUUACAUUACUUCCUAGGUUACAAUCCUUAUGAGUCUUGCUUCUGAGAAGCUGUUCCUAACUUUGACUCUGAUUUAGAAGCAGCCUGUCUCCCAUCUGCUGACGAUGUUAACGACAUGCUUAGUUUAAAAAUCCAAAUGGCUUUGCAUUCCUCAUGAUUUGAAACAUUCUUCUGAGGAUUCAUAAGUUCCUCCUGAGGUGACAAGGAUAUGUGUCCUCAGGGGAGCUGCCCCCCAGUCUGUCUGCUGCAGAGAGAGGGGUGGACUCUGACACAUUUGAACAUCCGGGGGCUGAACCUGAAAUACCACCACCCAUUCUCAGGCCCCAGCCAGAAAGUUCAGCCCAGCAAAUGUUUUGCAGCCUCUCAGCACUUUGCAGUUCUACCAAAUUAGUGUUUGGUAUUGAAUUAGUAUUCAUUUUCUCUAAUAUGAUAUAAAAGUAUAAUCACAUUAGUGACUUUUAUAGCACAUUAGAUUAUACAUUUGGAACACGUCCCCGCCUGAAACAGCUUUAAAAAAAAGAACAGCCAACAACAAUAACAAGCGAACCAUUCUCCAUCCCAGCUCACAAGUCCUAGCUUUUCAUCUGGGCUGCAGCAACCUGGAUAGAAAAUGCUCUCCUUGCCUCCUAGUCCCCACAGAGAAAGAAUUUUCAUUCCACUGCCCUGAUUUGUGAAGCAGUGAAUUUAAGACCUUAAUAGUCGUUCCAAAUGAAUGUUUCUUUAAUCCCGGGGCAGAAACGUAGGCUGUGCUUGAGAUGUAAUUAAUAGCACUAAUUAUUCUUCUCUUGUUCCCUCUCCUUCUUCUGCCCUCACCCCUUUACCCCAAGACACCUAGCAGGAACCCCGGGAAUGUUCAUCUUUGGCUUUCAGGUGCCCCUGGCCAAGGAAAUCAGCGAGCUCCUAGCCCACCCUAUCCUAGAAUUCCUGUUCCAAAACAUGUUUCUCUACUUCUCAAUUAUUCUUCUGGUUUGGGAUUUCUGGGCUUUCCAGGUUAGAUUUUCUAGAACCUGUUCCUAGCUGACUAGGUGACUCGACCAUUGUGAAGGGGAUGACAUUCCAGUAGCAGAGGCCUAGAACCUGGCUUUCCCAAGCAUCCUUCCCUGCCAGGUCACCCUCACUGAGGCACUGGUCCAAAGACAGGAAGAGCUCCUCAGAAAGAAGCUCCAACACCCCCCUCCCCCGCAGACACCCAAAGCUGAGGACCUAUCUGUAGCUAUGUAGAGAUCAGAGUUCAACCUCCACAAACUGUUCCCCACUACAAAGAGUACUGGACUACAAUGUGGUCCACAUAUAAUGAAAAAGUAAGCCUGGGAAAGGAGCUACGAUGAUGUAUUUGUACGUCUCCUCAUUGCCAAACCAUCAGAGCUAGGCAGAACCUCCUAAGGUUAGGGCAGGCCUUGAUAGCAGACUGCUUUUUACAUGCCAACUCUGAGAAUUUAGAAUUAGCUUUCUGCAUGGAGAAGAUUCUUGAAAGUUUCUGGAUCUACAAAAGAGUGUCUCAAACAAUCUUCAAACAUGCUUGAGCACCUGCUGUACAUCAAAUUCUGCUGUCAGCACCAGGGACACAGCUUUUAACCAGGGCCUAGGAUCCUCCUGUAUAGAAAUUCCAACUCCCGUGGACCGGGUCUCAUGAGACUGAAGCACAAGAUAGAGCUGGCAUCUCUAAAUGUGCUAAAUACAAUGGGAAGCCAGUCUUAUGUUUAGAGGAUUAAAGGCUUCUGUCAAGUCAACAGACAAACACUCUGGGUUGUAUAUGGAAAGUUGAUGGGAAAGAGGCCAAAUUAGAAGGUCAGGUUGGGGAUUUAGCUUAGUGGCAUAAGCACCUGCUUUGCAAAUGUGUGGUCGUGAGUUCAAUCCCCGGUACCAAUAAAAAAGAAAAAGACAAAAAAAAAAGUGCACCAGGAUGGGCUCCUACAAGCAGCAAAAAAAAAAAAAAAAAAAAAAAAAAGAUCAGGUUGAAGGUGUCUGUGCAAACAUUGAUGGAGGAUGAGGGGUAGAUACAAACUGACUCAUCAAAAGGUCUAGAUGGUGUGGGAAAUCCAUUAUUAAUGUCUACCACAGGUGUAGCUAUGUCUGCCAACUGCAUGCUUAUGUAUUUUCUAUCUCUGCCUUAAAAGUCAUUUCAUAGUUGAUGGAGGGAGCUGAGGAAGAUGAAGAGUCAUUCAUGGAUAGUAAUUUGUGGCUUUAGCAACAGCAACAGGAUAUUCUGAGAGGUGCAUUUGAAAGGGGGUAUUUCCCAGCUUUUGAUGGGGGCAUUAAGCAGAGAGACAGGCCAGCACACGGGGAUGAGAUGCUACACUGUGUCAAGUUGAGAUUGAUGGAAUCAGACAGACACGUAGGACCCUCAGAAGAUGGAGAAAGUUGACCAAAUCCCUAGAGAGUCCCAGCAUACUUCAUAAAGACACAAGCAGGAAGGCUCAAGGAAAAGAGGCAAGGAAGACAACUGUCAGUACGCGUGAAAAAAGUUUUCAAUUGUAUCAUUGGAAACAAAGGGUCUGGGACAAUCUCAUCCCCUACUUCUCCCCACCUUGCAAACCACAGGACCCAGCCAGUGGUAAAUGACCCGUCAGAAGUGGAUUUGGUUUGUGUUGCUAUUGUUUUCUGUGAGCUCCUGUCUUCUCUGUGAAGACCAGCCAUAGUCAGACACUUGGAGACAGGGAGGGCAGUGGAAAGUCAGUGGGGGGCUGGAGGAGAAGCCUGGCUUUGAAAACUGGCAUUUCUCGGGAGGCUGAGGCAGGGGGAUUGAUGCAAGUUCAAGACCAACCUGGGCUACAGAGUAAGCCGAAGGCCAGCUCGAACUGCAUAGCAAGACUCUGUCACAGAAAAAAAGGAAAAAAACUGAGGAUGUGAGAAAUCUAAAGAGCCAGGAGUCGUAGCACACCAUUUUUAAAGAAAUACUUUAGGAUAGGGGAAACUUCAUAAGAUUGUGGUACUGAAUAAGGCCAUACAUGUAAUCUCUUUCUAUUAAAAUAGACUGAGGACAGUUUUUGUGAUUUUGGCCCAGUUAACUCAGCUUCCAAUCCUGGGGGAAGGAGGCCAUCUAAAAAAACUGUCAAACUGCAAACCAGUCUCUACCCUUGCACUCUCGGCCAUCAUAGCCAGCAUCCUGCCUUAGGGUGUGACAUUUAGCCCUGGACAACAAUAUUCCUCCAUUGACACACAGGCUGGCCAUGGAUACAGAGGAGUUCAGGGCCUUGGGAAAGACCUCAAGCUUGGCCAGCUCAAACCUCCAGUGUGGGCACCCCCACACUCAAGCCUGGGCAGCUGUGGGAUGCCCUAACCAUGCCCAGGAAGGUGUUGACAGACCCUACUGGGAACCCAAGCCAGCAGCUCCUACCAGGAUUGUAGAAACACUUCCCAAGGGUUCUGAUGCUAGGGCAGAUUGGAGAACAUCUGGGGUAGGCCAUUUAAUGUGCAUUUCUCUAAGAUAUAUUCUUCUAUGAGCAGGAAACAUGUGAUUUUACAAAUUGUGAUUGAAGAUUAAUUCAGAUGAACUUCUAGCCACCUCCUGGCUGUGAACUUGUAGAUGUCCUUGACUUACUAUUGUUUAACUUGUGGAUCUUUGACUUUAUGCUAGCAGUGGUAUGAAAAUGAUACACAUUCAAUACUUCAGAGCUUGAAUUUGAACCUUUUCCCAGGCUGACUAGAUAACGAGGUCCAAUCCUCUCUCACAACUCUGGCAGUGGCAGAGAACACAGCUCUCUGGCAAUCCCACUAACUUGAGGGAAGCAGCCAGCAUUUCUAGGGUGCUAGGUUGUUAAGCCAGGAUGUUCAGAGGGUCAGGUGUAUUAAAUGCAUUUUCCAUAUCUGAUAUUUUCAGCUUACGUCGGGCUUGUCAGGACAUGUCCCCAUUGUAAGGCAAAGAGCAGCUGUGUUUCUUAACCUGUUUUUUUGCAGAGCAUUUUGACCCACAGAGAAGUAUAAAUGUGCAGAGCCACUACUCCCACCCCCAUUACAAUACUGAGUGAAUCUUUACAUCCACUCAAAAUGUUAAAAAAAAAAAAAAAAAACACGUAAAAACACAUCACCAGGGCUGGGGAUUUAGCUCAGCGGCAUAAGCACCUGCCUUGCAAGCAGGCAGUCAUGAGUUCGAUCCCUGGUACCGAUAAAAACGAAAAAGGCAAAAAAAACCCACAUCACCAAGAACAAUGGAAUAAGCAUGUUCAAAGUGAGGGAAAAUACUUUGAGGGGGAUUAAUGGUGAUGCGUCUUUUAGUGUAAUACAUUUUAAAAUUUAAAGUCACCAUAUUUUUAUCAUAUGUCAUUAAUGUUUAUGGCAAUUUCUGUCAAAUAAAAAUGUGACAGUACAACGUCAUCCAUCUUACCCACUAGAUCUGGCACUAUGUGACUUUUGGCUCUACCCCAAAAUUAAAAUGACAGUGAAAGAUAACUGUUUUGAGUUGACUCAAGACAUGAAGCAGCCAGGAUAGCACAACUAACGACACACAAAAGAGACUUCCAGAACUGCUUCAGAACCUGGCCAGAAUGAUGGGACAAGUGUGUUUGAAGUGAAAGCAUGCAGUCUGCCUUUCACUGUAGUAUUUUUUUAAUUAAACAUCCAUCAUAUUUUUUUUUUGUCUUUUUCCUUUUUAUUGGUACCAGGGAUCGAACUCAGGACUGCCUACUUGCAAGGCAGGCGCUUAUGCCGCUGAGCUAAAUCCCUAGCCCCUCAUCAUAUUUUUUUAUAACCAUUCAUUCCCAGGCCUUUUUUUUUUUUUUUUUAUUUCAAGGAAGGAUCUCACUGGGUCACUGAGUUGCCCUGGCUGGAGUCAAACUUGUGAUCCUCCUGCUUCAGCCUCCCAGAGUACUAGGAUCACAGGCAUGCACUACAGUGCUUAGCUGCAACUCCUUUUUAAACAGAAAAGGGACUAAGGAUGAUUCCUCCUUACCUUUAGGACUGAUUGAGAAGAAUACCUAUGCUCUCAGCAUCGAUAGUCUCACUGGAGGCAGAACAGAUGCUAAGCAUGUAAGCAAAGUAGGAUAGGAGAAAUGCGAGUUUACAGUGGAAAUAAGCAUCGUGCUGGGGUCCACCAGCAGGGAGGGGCUACUGAAUAGACCCCAAAGGGGGAGGAGUUGGGAUAGUGGUAGGAGUGUCUUGGGUGUGUAAGGAUGUGCUGGUGUCUGCUUAUGUAGGUGUGGGUGUGUGUAGGUAGGUGGGUGUGUUGGGUAGUGUAGGGUGUGUGUGUGUGUGCACAUGUGCAUGGUGUGUGUCACAAGUUUCAUCUGGGCCUCACCCAGUGUUACUGGACCUCAGAGGGGUUGGGAGAUGUGGGCAGAGCCAGGAUGGCACGCAGCUCUCAGGCUCCCUUGGCCACAAGGGGGCCCAGGCUGUUGUUCCAGUGGCCAGGCACAGAUGGAGAUGUGCACAGAGUGACAAGAUGCAGUGGCAUUUUCAGAGAUCUCCCUGGAACAGCAUCAUGGAGGGCAGGCCAGUGGCCUGGAGGAGGUUGGCAGAGUGGGGCUUGGCCUUGGCCUUGGAAGUGGAGCUGAUGGGCUCACGGGUGGGUGAUGUAAUGUGGUGGGACAGAGUGAAUGAAAAUGGGCCCGGGGGCUUGGCCCCGGGGCUGAGCAGCUGGUGGUUGCAGUGCCCCCACCCUGAGAUGGGGGAAGAUGCUGGGAGAAAUGGCGGGAGCCGGAGCAUGGCAGUUCACAGUUGCCGCUUGGCCCUGGGAAAUCUGAGAUGCAUGUGGCGCUAAGUGCUGUGGGCUGGAUGUGAGACCCAAGCUCCGCCACAAAUGGAACAAGCAGCUUGUCCCUUGCUCAGAGCCCCAGGCCAGAGCACAGUCCUUGGAAGGGUACUUAAGCACAGCCACUUCAUCUGUCUCCCUGCAGCUAUCUCAUCACGAACUCAUGGGCAUACCCCACUAAAAGGAACCCUCUCUGGGAAUCCAGCCCAUUCAAAAUGAGCUCACGCCACAGCAGAGAACCAUGUGGCACUGGGACAUUUGCGAGCACCGGGGUCCAGAACACUGGGUCACCUUACCAGGUGAGAGGUAGGACUGAGUUCCCAAGCUGGUUCCUGUUACCCUUAUGCCAGAAAAUAAGGAUACAUUUUGUCACUGAGUAAUGUCCCCCAUACCUUAAUGAAUACUGCUCAGUUCACCCUCACAACAAACCCCAGAACGGAGGCUAUAAUCAUUUUCAUUGUAUAGAUGAGGAAACUGAGGCGCAGCAAAGUAGUAGCUACACAGCCAUGUGGUAUAGACAGGGUUUAAAACCAAGCCAGUUGAACUGCAUACAGAAUGCCAAGCAGUGGCCAAAUGUCCUUUCUUAAAAGUCAAAACACCUCUGGGGGGGGGGGGCUGCCAUCACACCCAUUAUACAGAAAGGGAAACUGAGGCCAAAGAGAAGAAAUGCUUUGCUUUAAAUCAUUCAAAGCUGGUAAAUAGCACCAUUUAGUACUCAAACCUGGGCCUGGGGGAAAUUCUACAUUGUCUCCCAGACAUGUGACCUGCCCCUGCCUCUCUUCCUGGCAGUACAAGUCUCCAUCCCCCAGCCCAGCCCCAAGCAUUUCAGUGACUGUCAGGGCAGGUGGUGGGCUUGAUCCUUAAGGCUGCACAAACAACUACCACAGAAGGCUACACUAAGAGACAGGAAACAGCAGAGGCUGAUGGGCUCCUUGGAACUGUGGCCGGGCCUGUCAAGACCCCGUGUUGGGAGGUGUCAUCCCUAGAGCCUGUGUGUGCAGCUGCAGGCAUGUGAGGGAUGGCGCUCACGUUGGUGGCCGGGCCCCACCACACUGUGCACUGUGCCCUGUGCACUUGCACAGUGUCUUGCUGCUCACUGAGACUCUUCAGCGGGACAGCACUGAGCAGCUCGCUACAGAGAGAAUGCUGUGGGAUUUCCUGCUGGCUUCAACAAAACUCGUGUGUGUGUGUGUGUGUGUGUGUGUGUGUGUGUCUGUCUGUCUGUCUGUCUAUCUUGGACCAUACUGAAAAAUGAUACCCUGAUUUAGACCCCUACCUCUGAAGCUUCCAGAUGACCUGUGCUUGAUUAGCAGAGCUACUCAGAGCAUGGGAUUUGAGGUCACACUGUGGAAAUCAAAUCCCAGCUCUUCUGCUUACUGGCUGUGUGACCUUGAGCUUGCCUGCUGUUAACUUCAUGCAUUUCGUUUCCCGAUCUUACAGGGUUGCUAUAAGAAGUACAAAUCUGGCAGAUAGUACAUGCUUACUGUAUGCUGUUAAUUGUUAUCGGUGUUAUUUCUGUCUAAACAGAUCUUUCUGGAAAUGACCAGAUAGUAAAUAUUUUCUGCUUUAUGAGUCCUGUGGUCUCUGUCAUGUCUAUUCUCUUCCAUUGUGACAGGGAGCAACCAUGGAUAGGAUAGUAUGUCAGUGAAUGCGCAUGAUUUUGUUCCAGUCAGACUUCCCUCUUAGUUGUAUCUGAACACAACAGAGAAAAAUCCCCUUAGCUCAGCAAGCGUGUGACCCUAAGACUGCCAGAUGUCAUUUGUCCUAAGUUAGGGGGUGAAGUCAGACAUGAUGGGACAGAAAGAUAGUUCAGAUGGAAGCUGUCACUUGCCCACGUGUAUCUAACUGACUCCCUCCUCUGCCAGCCAGGGGUUGAGGUCAUGUACUCUACCCAGGAUCAUCUCUUUUAGUCCCAACAGAGAACCACAUGCUACACUUUGUUUUCCUAUAGACAUUUCUCUUUCUCUUUCCAGGUUUUAUACCCUUGAGCCAGGUAUUCUUGGCUUAAUUCUGUGAACCUUAUUCAUCUUAUCUGUAAAUGGGUUAAUCAUUAGACUUACUGCAUCCGGUCAGUUAAAAGGACUAAGUGGGUUAAUAUUUAUAAAGGGCUUGGAAUGGUCCCUGGUGUGUAAGCAGCACUAUAGAUGUAUGCUAUUGUUAUUGUUACCCGGAGACUGAGCUCACAGGUUCUCUCAAGUUUUCCUGCUAAACUCAGGAACACCAGCUCCCUGUAGCUGGCUGGGGCUGGGUCUCUCCACAUCCCCACUAUCAAUCCAGGACUGGUAUUGGCUGGGUACUUAGUGAUUGCUUAGUUAAAGUUCAGAGAAGCAAAAGGCAGUAACAGAAAGUGAACGUGAGGAAGGCAUGGAGAUCGGAGCAGCCUCCAAGGUGCUGUGGUUCUGAGACACGCUAACAUUGUGAGCAUGUUAGGGAUCCUAUGAGCAGUUUGGGAAUUUAGGCUCUCACUACUUAAUUUGGCUCACUGUAGACCCAUAGCAGGGAUGUCACCUAAAUAGUCAUUAGCUGUGCAGGUCGCACCUGGCCUCCUAGAACAGGAUCUGCACUUCAACAAGAUCCACAGGUAAUUGACACUAACGUCUGAGCCAUUUGUAAUGAGAGAGGACAGCUCAGGGAAGUAACACCUGAGAGGGAGAAUCAAACCUUGCUAAUAUUUUUGUAGCAUUGGAUCCAUCCAUGCCUGAAGCUACCCUUGCAUUGUGGUUAUAUAAGCAAAAGUUGCCUUGUUCUGAUUAACUACUUUGUAGAUGCUGCCAACAGGACCUGUGUGUCAUAGGAGCUCUUGGUAGGGGUGAUGUGGGACCAUCAGCUGUUUCACUAAGAAAAUAUUUGGUGACUGGAUGGAUAGAUGGGACGAGAUGCACUCUUCUGCCACUUGGGAAAGGAACAGCAGGAAGGUCAUGGGACCCACACAAGCUGGACAUCAGGAAGGUCUGCAGAGCCAGACCAGAGUGACCUUGAUGGGACAGUGGUCUCUACAUAGUAGUAAAGAACAGUGAGUAUGGGAGAUGCAAGGGUUAAGGCAGCCAGGCUAAUGGGUGUGUUGGGGCCCAGUGCAAAGACAUGAACAUUGAAGUCAACACUGGUCACUUGAUCCUGAUGCCACUCACUGCCACUUGCUUGUUGUAUGACCCUGGCCAAGGGAACAGAUGUCUCUGAGCCUCAUAGUUCUUAUCUAUAAAAUGGGCAUUAAAGCAGCACUGGCUUCAUUGGGACAAGGGGAGGGCCGGGAAUACACCAGUGUGCAGGCUCCAUGUGUGGUGACAUCACAAUGUGGACUUAAAGUCUGACCAAAACGGUACCAUGGAAGUGAUACACAUCGGAACUAUCCUGUCCACUCCCUGUCAAAAACUGGUUGUUAAACAUUUACCAGCGUGUUACUGGUUAAACAAAGUGUAUUUAAAUUGUCAUGCCCAGGGGCUGGGGACACAGCUCAUCAGCACAAUGCCUGCAUGGCAAGCACAAGAGCCUGAGUUCAAUUUCUGGUACCCCAAAAUAAAUAAAUAGCUGUGCCCAGUGCUGGGACCUGGGGUGGUUCCCAAUUACUAUUAUGUUAGGUACAUUGCUGUAACAUGAUAGAAAAUGUUUUUCAUGGUCAGGCUCUACAUGUGCUCAUUUUGUGACAGCUACUUUAGCUAUUCAGAUGCCUUUUCUAUUGCCCCUGUGGUUCCUAGCCCAUUCUUGGAUACCUGAGAUGACUGUUCCCUGAGAUCUGCACUGAGAAAGUAUUAUAGAUGGUAAUAUCUGAAGUUAACAUUUAUUGAACAUGAACUAAAUGCCAGGUACUGAAAAGCACUUUUUGUACAUAUUCUUAUUUGAUUUCCCAGUACUCUGUGAGCUAGAAGUGGUUACCUGAAUCUCCUUGUGUGGAGGUGACUGGAGCCCAGAGAAGUUAAUGACUUGGCCCAGGUCACAGCUGCUUGUUGGGUUGGCCAGGCUUUGAGCCCUUGCACUUUGACCCCAGCACCUGAUGAGGUCAAAAGUGGAGGGAGCAGGGUCCUUAGGGUGUGGACCUCCUCCUUACCAGCAGGCCUGAGGGACAAUGGGCAGGGCUAAGAAGCCUGGCAGCGGUAUCUGCCUGGUGGAAGACAUCGGUCCAGUUUUCUGGCACUUGUGUAGCCGCAUUCUGACGGGCAAAUGGAUGUCUCUGUUGGAAGGGAAUCUUGGCCCCUUGCCUGUUGGCAGCCGGCUCUUGGCUGCCACGUGGAGCGCUGUUUGGAGGCAGUAGGAAUUAUCCGGCAGCCUUGCAAGGAGAGCUUGGAGUGGAGCAUGGUGCAGCAGGGUCCCAGGAUGGCAUUUAUUAUCGACUGCGCCGGAACAGUCUUUGCAGAGCUCCAGCAGCUGCAGAGAGAAGAAUGCAAAAGUCUCCUUAAAUUACCUGAUUGAAAUAACCGGCGGAAUAUUCCGCGGGGCCACUGAGUGCCAGGGAAGCUGCCUAUGGGGUGGUCUGUCAGAGGCGGUUUGCACAUUCUGAAGAACACAGGAGUUUCAUUGCAGCAAAACAGAUGUUCAUCUUGUUUCUCCAUCGGCUGUUUGAUGAGAAAUUUAUUGCUCUUCCGCUGGGCAGGAGGCCCCUCUCGGCUGUGGAGUCUAUUAGACAAGCCAGCAGCUGGCGGGAAGCCAAGGUGAGGCUGUUUUGAUGAAACCCAUGAAAAGCUUUGGCUUCAAGGCGCCGGUAAUAAUGCACUGGCUAGACUCUCCUGAUUGGGCGAUUGAUUGGCCUGAUUUGAUUUAUUGAUCAAUACCCUCAAAUUUGGCGUCUGAGAAGCUGCACUAAUCUUUAACUGUUGUGAACAUCUCUGCCUGCUGGAGAAUGAGCCCCUGAUAAGGAAUGUAUGAAAGGAAUCGGGGCUUAUCUUAAUCACACACCGGGCCCCGGCACUGCCCGAGCCGGCGAGGGCCUCCGCGUACCGGCCUCAUCGCCGGGCAGGCCUGCGCAGAUCUAUAAAUUGAUGGAAUUCAAAGCCUCCAGCAUCGAUUACCGUUAUAACAAACAGUGGUGCACAGAAUGUCUGAUUAUUUUUAGACAAAGAUUCUGUUCUCUCAGCAGCAAUUUUGCUGAGGCUGUCACUGACUCAGAUGUCUACUGUUGAUUGCAAUUAGAUGCAAUACAAAAAAAAAUUAAACUCUC